CAGGCUCAGAUGCCAUUGUGCUAUGUCCCUGCACAAGCAUGUAUGAAACCAGAGCCGCCAUCCUGGAGAGCUAAGAAGUUAUUUCUGUACUUACAGAAAUAAGUCACAGAUGGUAAGCUCAGAUGCACUAAUAUCAAGACACAGAGCUGCUGCUCUAUGAUUCAAUAUUUUGUCUGAUACAUCCAUCCCAUCAUUCUGGUCACCUAUGCACAGGAUUGGUUGGUCUACUGACUCUCAGAAAGCAACACUUGGAAAACAGAAAGAGACCAGAAAACGAAUCCUCUUUUCAUGCAGUUCCUGGAAGAAUAAGGUCCUUGGCCCAUUCAGUGUACCAAAGGAAUGCAUGCCAAAGAAGAGCUGAUGCAAUUUCAUACACAGAAGCUGUUCAGGUAAAAUAUCCUUUAUCUUAUAACCAUUGGAGAUAUAUAAUUACAAGGUCGGGAGAAAGCUAAAUAUCAUGUUCUCCCUCUAGCUAUUUCAUUUCCUCCCCACCCCACGAUGCGUCAAUCCAUCUCCCUGACCGUACUGUUUCCAUUCUCCAUGUAUUUACACUGACAAGAGACUGAAUUAAUGGGGGAUGGCAAAAGGAGGUGAAAUAGUACUUGCUGGUGAAAAGAAGAAACACACCUGGAGGAAUGGGAUGUUGUCCUUUAUUUCAGUGUGAUUGUGCAAUCUCCAGACAUUAUCUACUAUCCACAUGGCACUCAGCUUGAAUCAUUGUCUUCCCACAUUGCAGNGGUCGGGAGAAAGCUAAAUAUCAUGUUCUCCCUCUAGCUAUUUCAUUUCCUCCCCACCCCACGAUGCGUCAAUCCAUCUCCCUGACCGUACUGUUUCCAUUCUCCAUGUAUUUACACUGACAAGAGACUGAAUUAAUGGGGGAUGGCAAAAGGAGGUGAAAUAGUACUUGCUGGUGAAAAGAAGAAACACACCUGGAGGAAUGGGAUGUUGUCCUUUAUUUCAGUGUGAUUGUGCAAUCUCCAGACAAUAUCUACUAUCCACAUGGCACUCAGCUUGAAUCAUAGUCUUCCCACAUUGCAUGGUAUUGUUUGCACAGUAAGAAGCUGAACCAGCAAGGUGUUUAAGCCCGCUAUCCAUCCAGUGGGAGCUGGGGGCCCACUCAACAUUUCAAAGCAUCAAGUUGUAAAUAAUCAGAAAGAGGCCUCUUGUAGCAAAUGCAGAAUGUUAGCUGUAGCUACGUACCUGUCCUUAUGAAAAAGUCCUAUGUAAUUUAAAAAGAAUGAAACUAAUAGGGUUCUAUAGAAAUUAGUCUAAAAACCCAGUCCUACUGACUUCUAUAACAGGUAAAUGCUAGCGGAUGGGGAAAAACUUAACCAACGAUUGAUCUGUGAUGGGAAUGUUUCUAUUAUUGAAUGUGCAUGACUACUGGAAAUUAUUAUUCUAUUUUUCUUUAUUGUUGGUAUAUUUAUAUAUGCAGUCUGAGUCCUCAAUGAAAUAAUAAUGUAAAAAAAGCAAUAGAAAAGUUGCAAUUUUUGUUAAAUUGCCCAGGAUUUUCCACCAGGGUGGGGAUGUUCUGUUUCCUGUAUCUUCAAGGCGUUCCUGUAUCUUCAGGUCAGAAAAAGGCACACAAUGCUGUCUCUGGGGAUGUUAGUCAUAUAGCUUAGCACACUAUGGGAAGGUGCGCAGGCACUCAGGUGCAGUGUAAGAACUAUAUUGAAUAGACUACAGCAAUCAUGUUUAAGACAGACCUGACACAGAAUGUUCAAGGAGACCCACGCUGUCCAUGUUUUUCCAUGGAGAGUUGACUUAUGUUCUUUUCUUUCUUGUGUUUCCCUAAAUGUGCAAUAAAG
This 1808-nucleotide long non-coding RNA is filed under the name Gopherus agassizii (Agassiz's desert tortoise). RNAcentral's name for it is "lncRNA (ENSGAGG00000025565.1)". The record is from RNAcentral. Lineage: Eukaryota; Metazoa; Chordata; Testudines; Testudinidae.